Molecule: ribosomal RNA, 379 nt
Filed under: uncultured bacterium
Lineage: Bacteria
Description: bacterial SSU rRNA
Rfam family: Bacterial small subunit ribosomal RNA
Source: RNAcentral
CAUGGCUCAGAUUGAACGCUGGCGGUAUGCUUAAGACAUGCAAGUCGUGCGGUAGAAGGCUUCGGCCUUUGAGAGCGGCGGACGGGUGAGUAACACGUGGGAAUCUACCUAUUAGUGGGGGACAGCCCAGCGAAAGCUGGAUUAAUACCGCAUACGCCCUACGGGGGAAAGCAGCAAUGCGCUAAUAGAUGAGCCCGCGUAAGAUUAGCUAGUUGGUAAGGUAAAGGCUUACCAAGGCGACGAUCUUUAGCUGGUCUGAGAGGAUGGCCAGCUACAUCGGGACUGAGACACGGCCCGGACUCCUACGGGAGGCAGCAGUCGGGAAUAUUGGACAAUGGGCGCAAGCCUGAUCCAGCAAUACCGCGUGUGUGAAGAAGGC